This 1293-nucleotide small RNA is filed under the name Rattus norvegicus (Norway rat). RNAcentral's name for it is "uncharacterized LOC102551924". The record is from RNAcentral. Lineage: Eukaryota; Metazoa; Chordata; Mammalia; Rodentia; Muridae.
GACCCCAGCCUCCCCCCCACCAAGAGAAAUGGAAUCUAGGUGUAACAGUGACCAUGGCAAAUGGCACUGAGCACCUGAGCUGUCACAUGAGUCUCUGCCAUUGGAUAAAGCUUUCAUUGCAUUGGUGGAGAGAGGUCAGACACAUGAGCUAUGUCCAUGUGCCUGGGUCCUGGGGCAACAGCCCUAAAACAGGAAGUGGGGAGUGUGUACAAGUCAGGUGGAAGCUUUUAGUCACUGCUCUUAGCACUGCUGCUCCAUCAUGCCCGCCUGCCUACCGCCAUGCUACCCACCAUGAUGGUCAUGGUCUCCAUCUCUGGAACGAAACUCCUGUCUCAAGUUUGUAUGGAUAAAAAAAGGGGGAAGUGGCCCCUGAUGUGAAAGCUCUACCACAAGGGUGGGACCCAGUGAAGGACGCUGCUGGAAGUGGAACACUCAGGAAAAGUGAAAAUGUUGGCAGACUGGUGACCAGAGCUCACUCUCGCCCCUCCCUUCUCCGGUGGCUGCACAACACAGAGGACCACUGCAGACAUAGGUGAGUUAUGAUCCAACCCAGCAGGUUAGGGUCUAAGAAAAAGUAUUGGAGAUUGAUAAAUGCAAGUGAUAAAGGCUAGAGAAUGUAAACGAACUUGGAUGAUGAUGAUUUAGAAAUAAGAAAUGCUACAGAUGAAGGAUGUUUAAGGUUGGUAAGUGCAGUUUAUACAUGCUGGCACUGUCUAAGAAGAUGUUUUAAGAAUAUAAAUGCAAGUUAUAGAGAUGUAAGAAAUAAUUGAAACUGGGACAUGUUUCAUAGUCCUCCAACAUGCUAAUCUUAUUUCAAAGUUCAAAUUUUUAACAUUGAUCAAUGGAGUUCUGAUACCUUAAUGGGACAUUGACAAUUGAUAAUUCAGUCACAAGCUUAAGAUGUUAAUGUCCCUUUGGUUGUCUUCUGAAUAUAGACUUAAAUGUGCUUCUCAUCAUGCUAAAAACACCUCUGUUCAAUCUGUGUACUGAGCCCUCCGGAUUGAAGAAAUUGUGCCUUUUAACCUAAACCUAUAUCUUUCACUAGAUCUCAAAGGCAUGUGUCUUCUUCUGUUGUCUAACAAACACCUGUCAACUACUUUUUCUCAUAUUAAUGCACAUUCUUUUGUAAACUGAAGUUCACAUAAGCUUCAAGAAAUCAAGAGUCCUAAGACAUGGACCUGUCUGUCACAGAUCAAAUGGACUUCAGAUAAGUACACUGCCUGUUCUGAUCUAAUCCAGCAGGUGGCCCCAAAUAGAAAGUAUAUACAUUGAAUGUGAUUUAUAUAUGUUAAU